Long non-coding RNA from Drosophila montana, 711 nucleotides. RefSeq lists it as uncharacterized. The transcript has 2 exons. NCBI's taxonomy places the organism in Eukaryota, Metazoa, Arthropoda, Insecta, Diptera, Drosophilidae. The record is from RefSeq and is a predicted model, not a curated record.
AGAGAUCGAAGAGAAUCAAAUCGAACACAGAAGUGUUCAAAUCAUAUAAAUUGGAAAAACUGCUUAGCAGCGAGCAUGUACAUCAGAUAUCCAGCAGAGAGCUAUUGGAAAGAGUCAAAACUUCAGCUCCGCGUAAGAUUCCACGGCCGAGCCGGGUAGUCAAGACGAAACGACGCAUAACGCCCAUACGCAAUAUGAAAAGGCAAAAGAAGUUUAUGCAAGGCCUAAGGCAGAACUGGCGAAAGAAACACAUUAUGCCAGAGUCCAAGAAUAUGGUGUAUUGGAUCAGCGUGGAGCAGCAAAACUUGGCUGCACCCAAAUUGGCGCGAUUUCAUCCAGGCGUUACAAUUGGCAGCCGAAUUGACUUUGAGCUGAUUAACGUGAAAUCAACUAAGAUGAUCUUGAAAGAAACGCCAACGUUCUCGGCUCUGAAGAGUUCUAAAACUAAGAAGCUUUUUUGGACCCAUCUAUGCUUGUUCAGUUUAGUCGUAUUUGUCAUAUCACCUUAUUUGGCAUCGCUCUGCACAUGGUCGUCCAAGUGUUUGGAAACUAGGAGCAAUGACACAGCCAUGCGCUUGGGUAUUUACAUCUGCCAUAUCAUUCUGUUAGUAUUUGUCAAGUCUAUUUAAGUAAUGCUGUAUUAUGUUUCUAAAUUGUAACUGCUUUAUAUAGCAUUUUAUAAUGAAUAGAAUACAACUUUUGAGUAUGCAA